RNAcentral lists this transfer RNA (65 nucleotides) under Laemobothrion maximum. RNAcentral's name for it is "tRNA-Trp". The record is from RNAcentral. Lineage: Eukaryota; Metazoa; Arthropoda; Insecta; Psocodea; Laemobothriidae.
AAAGUUAUAAGUUAAAGUAAAACUAUUAUCAUUCAAGGAUAACUAUGAAUACCCCUCUAACUUUG